RNAcentral lists this long non-coding RNA (569 nucleotides) under Homo sapiens (human). RNAcentral describes it as "non-protein coding lnc-PAX1-7:1". The record is from RNAcentral. Lineage: Eukaryota; Metazoa; Chordata; Mammalia; Primates; Hominidae.
UGGAAGGUGAUGGGGAGCCAGCACAUCACAUCGUGAGAGAGGGAGCAAGAGAGCAAACCAACUCUUUCUCAUAAUAAACACUGUGCUAAAUGGAUGUAUGGAGAUGUUUCUCUCCAGCAAAGAUAAGGAAAUGGCUGGAAGACUGCGAAAGAAUAGAUGUGCCACUUUGGAAGUUGGCAUAAAAAUGAAUGAUAUUUUUACUUUUUGGAAAGCCAAGCAGGUCCCAGAGUCGUGGGGCAGUACUUGGCCUCAUCUCUGAGGCCACCCAUUCUGCUGCUGGCAGCCACAGUGAUGUACCCUUGGCACUAUGUCGCUCCCCCUACUUGGCAUCCUCAGUUUUUCUAAACUCAUGGGUGAGAGACGAAUGACGUCAGAGGCCCAAACCUUUGGAUGCUGAUCUAAAAGCAUCAACCAAAACCCAACACCCGAGCUUCGUAAGUUCCCAUUUGAAGCAGGAGCAGUUUUUAUAGCAACAGACAAAGGAUUGCUCUGUCCUUGUUGGAAGUGCUUGAGGACCAAGCACAGAGGUGGGCAAAGAUCGUCAUCAGGGCUUCUGCUACCUGUCUUAG